UACGGAGGGUGCUAGCGUUGUUCGGAAUUACUGGGCGUAAAGGGCGCGUAGGCGGCCGUUUGCGUCGGAUGUGAAAGCCCGGGGCUCAACCUCGGAACGGCAUUCGAUACGGGACGGCUGGAGACCGGGAGAGGAGAGUGGAAUAGCCAGUGUAGAGGUGAAAUUCGUAGAUAUUGGCUGGAACACCGGUGGCGAAAGCGGCUCUCUGGCCCGGUUCUGACGCUGAGGUGCGAAAGCGUGGGGAGCAAACCGG
Molecule: ribosomal RNA, 253 nt
Filed under: uncultured bacterium
Lineage: Bacteria
Description: partial 16S ribosomal RNA
Rfam family: Bacterial small subunit ribosomal RNA
Source: RNAcentral